AAAGGGGAAGAGGGCUGAGAAGAAAGGCCAGUGAGAAAACAAAUGCUUUUGAUUUAAAAAAAUAAAUAAAUGUAUGUAUUUAUUUUAACCAGAAAAAUGAAAAUUUCUAUCCUUUUCAGAAACCACUGAUUUUCUACUGGAAAGAUGGAAGAAAAAAGCAAAUGGAAGUUCCUUGCUUGCUGAUUGUUUCAGAGAAAGUGCAUAGGAUUUAAGAUCUCCCUGCUCCCUUUCCGUCUGACUCUCGCAUUUCCUGCAUGAGGCRUCUGCCUUUGGCGGGUUUGUCACAGCGCGAUUCACUUGUGAGGUGCUGGAUUCAGAAAUGCUGCAGAUACUUGACCCGCUGAAGAAGUCAAUCUUGCUCCUUUUCCAGUCCUUGGAAAGUGCUCUACGUCUGUGCACURUGUCAGCCUGCAAGGAAUUCCUGUUUGUCAUGUUUAAUUCCUUCCUGAGCCUGGACUUGGGGGGCAUAUAGAAGAUAACUCUCRCUUGGAAUGAUUCAGGAUUUUCAACUUGCCAUUACACUGCGACUACAUCAGUGUUUCUGAAAUCUGGGAAG
Long non-coding RNA from Dromaius novaehollandiae (emu), 556 nucleotides. Lineage: Eukaryota; Metazoa; Chordata; Aves; Casuariiformes; Dromaiidae. The record is from Ensembl.